RNAcentral lists this non-coding RNA (30 nucleotides) under Cricetulus griseus (Chinese hamster). The record is from RNAcentral. Lineage: Eukaryota; Metazoa; Chordata; Mammalia; Rodentia; Cricetidae.
UCUCACUCUUCCAAGCCAGUUUGUCUGACA